CGGUACACUGCCAUGAUAGGAGGGAAGGAGGGAUGCCCUCCGCCGCACUGACCACAGCCGCCGGCCUGGAGGAGGAGAGUCGCGCUCGGCCGUAAAUCACACGUGACUCCCCAGAGGGAGUCGCACCCGAACCUCAGCACACCGCGCGGGGUCAAGAACAGUCUCCUGCCAAGCCCCACACCCGUCGUUCCCCCGCAGCCGGCCCUCUGUCUCCAGGCUUUGGCAAGCUCGACUUCAGUCUCUCUCUUGAAAUAAGGUCGCUCGGGAGUCCCAGGUGAAGUCGGGGCGCUCAGCAUCUUAAGGCCCCAUGUGGCAUUCUUUCUGCUCCAGGCCGGCCCUCGCCAGCCGAACCCUGGGCGGGAGCCAGAGUCCACGGUGUCCCGAAUCUGUAUAGUUCUCAGGGGCGGAGAAAGAACCUCUCCGCAAGGGAAGAAGCAGUCCGCAGCGGCACCGCGUGGCCAGUCAAGGCACUGCACCGUUCCAGCUUCAGCGACGCUACGACCCGUCUCAGCCUUGGCCCGGGUUAUACAAAGGGGAAAGCGCGAUCAGCAGAAGCCAGACUUAGCAUGCUUCCUCUGCGUCUGUGCUAGAAUCCUCUGGCCACACAUGCUCCUGUACACAAUAAUCCUUAUGCUCUGAACAUGUAUUUUCGCAUGAAAAAUCCUCUUAUGGAUAGGAGAGAACCUCCCGACAGAGAGCCCGGAUAGCUCAGUCGGUAGAGCAUCAGACUUUUAAUCUGAGGGUCCAGGGUUCAAGUCCCUGUUCGGGCGAAAGUCUUUUAAAGCCAUUUCUGAUUACUAUUUUGUUUGGAGGUACAAUUAAUGUAUGUACACAUGGCCCUGCUCAAAUUAAAAA
Tupaia belangeri chinensis (Chinese tree shrew) is the source of this 855-nucleotide long non-coding RNA. RefSeq lists it as uncharacterized. The transcript has 2 exons. NCBI's taxonomy places the organism in Eukaryota, Metazoa, Chordata, Mammalia, Scandentia, Tupaiidae. The record is from RefSeq and is a predicted model, not a curated record.